CAGGGAGACAACCAAAUGUUUAAUUUUAUUAUUUUGUCACCUUAGGUCGAUCGGUAUCUCACGUUCUUAAUCAUUUAAGAAUUUCAUUUCCUAAGUUUUUCUAGGUCACACCCAUUAUUUUUCCUGGGCCAUUAGCUCAGGUGGUUAGAGCGCACCCCUGAUAAGGGUGAGGUCCCUGGUUCAAGUCCAGGAUGGCCCAUAUCUCUAUGUUGGGGGUAUAGCUCAGUUGGUAGAGCGCCUGGUUUGCAAGCAGGAUGUCAGCGGUUCGAGUCCGCUUACCUCCACUGAUUACCACCUCUGUCAUAAUUUGCAAAAGGAAAUAUUUUGAGUUGUGAUCAAUCUGAACGAUUCUAGCUUCCUAAUGAAUUCAUUAAGAUGCUGGACUCAUUGAAUUAAUUUCAUUGUUUUCAGAGAACCUUGACAACUGCAUAGAUUAUUUUUAAAGACAAUAAGCAUCUUUAAUGAUGCAGAUUUAUUAUUUGUGCGAAUGCAUUAAUAACAAUUCUAUUAAGCUGAUGCUUCAAUUUUUGAAGUUAUU
Molecule: transfer RNA, 538 nt
Filed under: uncultured Prochlorococcus sp.
Lineage: Bacteria; Bacillati; Cyanobacteriota; Cyanophyceae; Synechococcales; Prochlorococcaceae
Description: partial 16S-23S ribosomal RNA intergenic spacer
Rfam family: tRNA (bases 126-199)
Source: RNAcentral